GAGACCUUGCCCAGAUGUUCGUAAACAAUAACGGAGGUGUUUAUUCCUGCUCCAUGCCAAGCCCCGCUGCUGAUUUUCUUUAAAUACGGGGGGCAGCCCCCUGCUGCCAAGGAGGGCACGCGGGAGACCAGGGCACGGGCACACAAGGAGCAGUCACUGGAUCGAGAUGGGUCUCAAGGCGCUGCUGGUGGCUGUCGUGGUUAUGAUCGCCCUCUCGGGUCUGGAGUGCGCGCCGGCCGCAGAGGACGACGAGGUGCAAGUCAAAGGUCCUCUGGAUAACGUCCUGGCCCAGGCAAGAGACCUGGCAGAGGAGUACGCUGCGAAGACGCGAGAGCUGCCAGGCAUAAAGCACACCAUAGAUAUGUUCCAGAAGGGAAUCGACCUUGUGGGGCCGUACGCUCGGAUCCUUCAGGACCAGAUGCUCCACAUGUGGAAAUAAAAAUUAAGAGGGCCGGGCCAUCCAGCCACCGAAGAACGCUCUCAUCGUUGCCUUUCGACAAAGCGGCACGUGGGACCAAGAGCUGUGCUUGGACGACUUCCGACUCAUUAUGCCUUGCCCCCCCCCACCACAUUCGCGCACUCGUUAAGGUGUUAUAAGACUUGUUUUGUAGCAAUGCUUUGGAACGUUAGCACUGGCAAUGAUGCACCAACACAGCUGUUCAAUACACUAACGGUUUGAAUCACGAUUUGACUUUUCCCAUCGUGGUUAAUCGCAACCCAAGCUUAAGACUUCAACUCACUUCAUUUAGGAACUCCGCUUAAAGUGCCCAGUAUGGAUUUUAAUCUAUAAUUAGCCGUGCUGAUCAAGGCUCCAACCCCCAAAUCACAGCCACCUCGCAGUCUUACAAGCGGGUUUUUGCGAAUUUCUCCACACAUAAGAAAAAAAUAUUUGUACAUGUACAAUUCAGUGCACGCAUUGAAUGCAAGAAUAUUUUGAAAUAAAUGUAAAGUUAUAUGCCUCACAAUUGCAGUGUCGUCACGUAUCGUAAUGUACCUCGAUUUGUUUAAUAAAGUAUUUUUGACUUA
Petromyzon marinus (sea lamprey) is the source of this 1026-nucleotide non-coding RNA. The record is from RefSeq and is a predicted model, not a curated record. NCBI's taxonomy places the organism in Eukaryota, Metazoa, Chordata, Hyperoartia, Petromyzontiformes, Petromyzontidae.